RNAcentral lists this ribosomal RNA (434 nucleotides) under uncultured bacterium. Its description in RNAcentral is "bacterial SSU rRNA". It matches the Rfam family "Bacterial small subunit ribosomal RNA", at positions 486 to 917 of the family's 1533-position model. The record is from RNAcentral.
GGAAGCACCGGCUAACUCUGUGCCAGCAGCCGCGGUAAUACAGGGGGGUGCAAGCGUUGUUCGGAAUUACUGGGCGUAAAGGGAGCGUAGGCGGGAUUGCAAGUACAGUGGUUAAAUCUCCGGGCUCAACCUGGAACUUGCCUUUGUGACUGCAGUCCUUGAGUAUGGUAGAGGUUGGCGGAAUUUCCGGUGUAGCGGUGGAAUGCGUAGAGAUCGGAAAGAACACCAGAGGCGAAGGCGGCCAACUGGACCAAUACUGACGCUGAGGCUCGAAAGCGUGGGGAGCAAACAGGAUUAGAUACCCUGGUAGUCCACGCUGUAAACGAUGAACACUAGAUGUCGGGAGGGGUUCCUUCCGGUGUCGUCGCUAACGCAGUAAGUGUUCCGCCUGGGGAGUACGCUCGCAAGGGUGAAACUCAAAAGGAAUUGACGGG